Polypterus senegalus (gray bichir) is the source of this 1845-nucleotide RNA transcript. It is a transcript of the gene named adaptor related protein complex 1 subunit sigma 2, with no coding region annotated. The record is from RefSeq and is a predicted model, not a curated record. NCBI's taxonomy places the organism in Eukaryota, Metazoa, Chordata, Cladistia, Polypteriformes, Polypteridae. The transcript is spliced from 7 exons.
CUCUUUAUUUCUUUCCUUACACACAUUGAAACGAAGGGGCUACAGGGAGUACCGUUUUAAAAGAAGAGGAAAGUCGAAGGAAUUGGUAUUUUUGCUUCAUGUAGAUCAUUUGUGGAACUGUAUUUUUAAAGUAGGCAAUGAUGCAGUUCAUGUUGCUUUUCAGUCGCCAAGGAAAGUUGAGGCUUCAAAAGUGGUAUGUUCCAUUAUCCGAUAAAGAAAAGAAAAAGAUCACCCGGGAACUUGUCCAGACAGUACUGGCUCGAAAGCCCAAAAUGUGUAGCUUCUUGGAAUGGCGUGACCUGAAGAUUGUGUACAAAAGGUAUGCAAGUUUGUAUUUCUGCUGUGCCAUUGAAGAUCAAGACAAUGAGCUAAUAACCCUUGAAAUUAUACAUCGCUACGUAGAACUGUUGGAUAAAUAUUUUGGCAGCGUAUGUGAACUGGAUAUAAUCUUUAACUUUGAGAAGGCCUAUUUCAUCCUCGAUGAGUUUCUUUUAGGAGGAGAAGCACAGGAGACUUCAAAGAAAAAUGUCCUUAAAGCAAUCGAGCAGGCAGAUCUUUUGCAGGAGAGCCAAAAUGAAGACUGGGGAGGUUUAUCUUCUGAUGAUAUCUUAUAAUUGAAAAUGAGUCUGAGACUUUGUCCUCUCAGAUGCCCUCCCAACUGUGGGAUGCUAAAGAAGCCGAGACUCCCAGAAGCGUUCUUGAAGAGAUCGGGCUGACAUAAACCUUACACUUCAACCUUGGCCCUUUUGAUCCUUUUUCUUUGUUUACUGCCUUUUUUGUGUCUUGCUAAUGUUAUGCUAAUUGUUCUGUCUGUGCUGUGUGUCAGUAUUCGGAAACAAAUUUCCAGCAGCUUAAAGAAAGGAGGACAAAAAAGGGAAGAUGGAAAUGUUUCUGCCUUUGCUAUAAUACUGCCUUAAGGUUUUUUUUUUUUUGUUAGUCACAAUGCACACGUAAAGCGAUGCUGUUUCAUAAAGAUUUGUUCCAAGCGGUAUUCAUUAUAAUAUCCCUUCUGAAAUAUGUUUCCUUUUUUUAUUCUGUGUGAUGUCAGUAAUCAUUUUUUUCAUGAAGGUGCUUAAUUUUGUAUUUUCAAGUCACUUGAGUGACAUGUAGCUCAACUGUAAAGCUGAAGUGUGCUACCCACUGGUACCACUAGUGGGCAGAGCAUGUGGGCUUGCAGCGUCGUAGUCUCUCUGAAACGCUUUUGUCUGCCCAUUAGGUGAAGUCUUCAAUUUGGCUUUUUGUACGUAGUGAGUGGGUUCAAAAACACAUGAUGAAUGAAGCUUUGGGGGGGUUUUAGUGUUCACAACCAAAGAAGCACUGUGUUGGCAUUCAUCUGCUUGCUUUUUUUCUGUUUUGCUGGUUUUGUUUUUUUGUUUUUAUUUUAUUCAUGUCCAAAAAGGCUAUUAUUUGCAGUUGUGGGGGAAAAAACCUAUAAAAGUGUUGGAAACUCUUAAGUGACAAUGUCACAACAAUAAACCAAAGAAUUCCUUCCUGUGGGCAUUAAUGGCCCUUUCUACUACCAGUACAGCCAGUAUUUACUGAAGGUCAACACUAAACCAGGAGAUGGCGUAGGUGGCUUGGCAAUUUCAAUGUUUCUAGUAUUUUUGCUCACUCUAAGGUGGCUCGAACCCUGGCAGAGCUUGUUUGAAGUCGGGCAUCUUCUUCAUCAGUUCAAGUGUAACACAUCCAGUUCCACAGGUCACUUCUUCUUCUUCUUCUUCCAGUAUUGUGUCCCAUAUAAAAUGCCGCUGAACCUUGCUGUGCAUAUUCUUUUGUAUUACUGUCUCUGUGAAGGAAUAAACAGUGAUUGGUGUUCAAAAUAAUAAACCCUUUCCUUGCACCAGA